UACGGAGGUUGCAAGCGUUGUUCGGAAUCAUUGGGCGUAAAGGGCGCGUAGGCGGGUCGCUAAGUCCGAUGUGAAAUCCCUCGGCUCAACUGAGGACGUGCAUCGGAUACUGACGGUCUUGAGUCCUGGAGAGGGUAGCGGAAUUCCCAGUGUAGAGGUGAAAUUCGUAGAUAUUGGGAGGAACACCGGUGGCGAAGGCGGCUACCUGGACAGUGACUGACGCUGAGGCGCGAAAGCAUGGGUAGCAAACAGG
RNAcentral lists this ribosomal RNA (253 nucleotides) under uncultured bacterium. Its description in RNAcentral is "partial 16S ribosomal RNA". It matches the Rfam family "Bacterial small subunit ribosomal RNA", at positions 524 to 776 of the family's 1533-position model. The record is from RNAcentral.